UACGGGGGGGGCAAGCGUUGUUCGGAAUUACUGGGCGUAAAGGGUUCGUAGGUGGCUUGCUAAGUCAGACGUGAAAUCCCUCAGCUUAACUGGGGAACUGCGUCUGAUACUGGCGAGCUUGAGUGCAGGAGAGGAACGCGGAAUUCCAGGUGUAGCGGUGAAAUGCGUAGAUAUCUGGAGGAACACCGGUGGCGAAGGCGGCAUCCUGGACCGGCAUUGACGCUGAGGCGCGAAAGCUAGGGGAGCAAACGGG
RNAcentral lists this ribosomal RNA (253 nucleotides) under uncultured bacterium. Its description in RNAcentral is "partial 16S ribosomal RNA". It matches the Rfam family "Bacterial small subunit ribosomal RNA", at positions 524 to 776 of the family's 1533-position model. The record is from RNAcentral.